AAAAUAAAGCAGAAGUAAUUUUAAAAUGACACCAUAAAAUGUGCUGUGGUUUUGGCUUUCUUCUUUCUCUUUCUCAGAGCACCCUUUGUGCAAGAAGGCAGUGCUAUGUCAUGAGGAUAAUCAAGCAGCCCUACAGAGAGGUCCACAUGGAGAGAACUGAGGCUUGCUUGAACUCUGUGAGAUGUUGUUUUAAUUUAAACAACAAAAUUUAAACUAAAUUUUGGGAUAAUUUGUUACAGACUAGUAUAUAAAUAAUAUAUCUUUUUAAAAAUUAUGUUUUCUAUUUGUUUCUGGUUUACAGAAAUUAAAGUUUUUACAUUAUUCUCCUAGCCAGUUACUUUAUUUAGCUCUCUUCUUAAUUUCAGUAAUAAUACAUUUCAAUAGAUUCUAUUGAGUUUUAUGUAGACAGUCAUCUUCUAUGUACUUAAUGGCAGCUUUGAGUCUUUCUCUCCAAUCCUUAUUUAUUUUUCUUCUCCAUGCAGAUGGCUUAGUCUUUGAUAUAGUAUCAACUAGAAAAAAUGAUAGUGAGUAUCCUUGUUCUGUUCUUGAUUUUAAGGGGAUUUUCUAAUAUUUUUCCAUUUAAGAAUACCAUCUUAGAGGUUUCUGAUGGAUAUCCUUAUUAGAUUAAGGGAGUUCUUUCUAACUCCUGGUUGCUUCUGUCAAGAUACAUACACACACACACACACACACACAUUUGCUUUUUUUGUGCUAUGGGUGGCAAGUACUGCUGGGUUAGGCUGUGCCUGAACAAUGCCAAGAAAGAAAGAGAAUAACCUUUGCCGUGUUUUAUCUUCAAGAUCUUUGGAGGUCAUGAAAUGUAAGGCAAGUUGUUAGUGAAGGCUUUGGAAUACACUGUUUCCUAAGAGCUGAUGAAAGAUGGGGAACAUAGCCACACUUGUGACUUAGGAAUGCAAGGGCUAGGACCCACUUCACUGCUCAAGGACCUCUGGCCUGCUUGUUCUGUCUCAUUCUCACCUCUCUUCCACCCAAGUGUCAGAAGUGGUAGCAUAACCAUUGGGAAGAGUAGGCCUGACUCCUUCAUUAUCGGUCUCUCAGUGGCUCUCCAUGUUUCUGUGUGUCUCUGUCUUUCUUGUUCACUUCUGAGGCAGGAGAUCAUUUCAUAGAGCAAAUAGUUCUCUUGAAGCAUUAAAUGUUUUACAAUAAGUCAUAUUUUGAGUUGGCAUGUGACAAUUUCUGUUUGCAUGUAUAAAAAGCUUUUGUACCCAGGAUAACAGGUGCCCCAAAAAGCACAAACUGAAGAUAAUCCAAAAUCAGGUGUAUCCAGGUCCAGCAAAUGACUUAGUCACUCCAGGCUUGUUUCUUUACCUCAAAAAUGAGAGGGUUAGGAUAUUUGCUCUCUAAGCCCCCUUGCAGCUUUGGGACUAUGCACAAUGUGGACAGUCAAGAAAUGCUCAGUAGACUGAAGUCCAUGACAGCAGAGGCAGUAUCUACUUUUUCUUGUUAUGGUGUCACCUGCUACUUAGAAUAGAGUAUGGCAGGUUGGGCAUGGUAGCUCAUGCCUAUAAUCCCAGCACUAUGGGAGGUUGAGAUGGGAGGAUCACAUUAGCCUAGGAGCUCAAGACCAGCCUGGGCAAUAUAGUGAGACUCCCAUCUCUAAAAAAACGUUUUUUAAAAAAAGCCAGGCAUUAUGGCAUGCACCUAUAGUCCCAGCUACCCAGGAGGCUGAGUUGGCUGGAUAGCUUGAGCCCAGGAGUUUGGGGCUGCAGUGAGCCAUG
RNAcentral lists this long non-coding RNA (1736 nucleotides) under Homo sapiens (human). Its description in RNAcentral is "non-protein coding lnc-PUM3-4:1". The record is from RNAcentral. Lineage: Eukaryota; Metazoa; Chordata; Mammalia; Primates; Hominidae.